UACGUAGGGUGCAAGCGUUGUCCGGAAUUAUUGGGCGUAAAGGGCUCGUAGGCGGUCCAUCGCGUCGGGAGUGAAAAGCUGGGGCUUAACCCCAGUCCUGCUUCCGAUACGGGUGGACUAGAGGUAGGUAGGGGAGAUCGGAAUUCCUGGUGUAGCGGUGAAAUGCGCAGAUAUCAGGAGGAACACCGAUGGCGAAGGCAGGUCUCUGGGCCACUACUGACGCUGAGAAGCGAAAGCAUGGGGAGCGAACAGG
This 253-nucleotide ribosomal RNA is filed under the name uncultured bacterium. RNAcentral's name for it is "partial 16S ribosomal RNA". It matches the Rfam family "Bacterial small subunit ribosomal RNA", at positions 524 to 776 of the family's 1533-position model. The record is from RNAcentral.